GCCCUCUCAGGGUCACUCCUGGAGAGUUUUCAGUACUCUGCCAGUCUCAGCUAUGGGAGGGAGAGUCAAGCAGAGGCCUACCCAUUCCAUUCCUAGCUUGGCCAGUGGCUAGCGAAUGGAAGGCAAUCUGCUACAAGU
Molecule: small nucleolar RNA, 138 nt
Filed under: Ornithorhynchus anatinus (platypus)
Lineage: Eukaryota; Metazoa; Chordata; Mammalia; Monotremata; Ornithorhynchidae
Source: RNAcentral